This 22-nucleotide microRNA is filed under the name Macaca fascicularis (crab-eating macaque). RNAcentral describes it as "novel_miR48-5p". The record is from RNAcentral. Lineage: Eukaryota; Metazoa; Chordata; Mammalia; Primates; Cercopithecidae.
AAAAGUAAUUGUGGUUUUUGCU